Molecule: long non-coding RNA, 601 nt
Organism: Dermacentor silvarum
Lineage: Eukaryota; Metazoa; Arthropoda; Arachnida; Ixodida; Ixodidae
Exons: 4
Source: RefSeq, a predicted model, not a curated record
UCUCAUUCAAGGCCGGCAAACGUGGGGAAGGCAUCGUCGUCAUUGCGGCAACUGUAGAGGCCAGCCAAACACUUUCCAAAACAUAUCGCCCUUGGUGCAUCGUUAACGACAAUGGCACCGUUGUCAGUGCUCACUGCACCUGUAUGGAUGGCCUCGGAGAAUGCUGCACUCAUGUGGUUGCUUUGCUGUUCAGUGUUGAAGCUCAUUUAAAGUAUGGGUUGCACAAUCCAUCACCAACUGAAGUUGCGUGCAAGUGGACCGCGGUGCCACGGAAGAGCACAGCAGCACCAGUCAGUGACAUAAUAUUUUUCAAGCCAAAGACUGGUCAGCCAGUGCCAAGAACACAAGGGGCCGUACCAACCUGGACAGAUGAAUAAGUGUACAACUUCUUGCAGCAACUCAACGUACUGGCCCCAAAGACGCUACUGUUGACUUCAGUAACAGACAGUGAAGAAACAGAUUCUUCACCUGAAGCAGCUGCCCAAGAAGAACAGUUGGACAACGAACAACAGUUGGACAAGGAUGAGUCAUCGCCACAGCUUCCACUCUAUGGUAUAUACGAGGGCAUGAGUACACAAGCAGCUAAAACAGUACAGCUAGC